CUAAGUUUGAUGGCGACCGGCGCACGGGUGAGUAACACGUAUCCAACCUGCCGAUGACUCGGGGAUAGCCUUUCGAAAGAAAGAUUAAUACCCGAUGGCAUAGUUCUUCCGCAUGGUAGAACUAUUAAAGGAUUUCGGUCAUCGAUGGGGAUGCGUUCCAUUAGGUUGUUGGUGAGGUAACGGCCCACCAAGCCUUCGAUGGAUAGGGGUUCUGAGAGGAAGGUCCCCCCACAUUGGAACUGAGACACGGUCCAAACUCCUACGGGAGGCAGCAUG
This 276-nucleotide ribosomal RNA is filed under the name uncultured bacterium. RNAcentral's name for it is "partial 16S ribosomal RNA". It matches the Rfam family "Bacterial small subunit ribosomal RNA", at positions 79 to 353 of the family's 1533-position model. The record is from RNAcentral.